GAUGAACGCUGGCGGCGUGCCUAAUACAUGCAAGUCGAGCGAACAGACGAGGAGCUUGCUCCUCUGACGUUAGCGGCGGACGGGUGAGUAACACGUGGAUAACCUACCUAUAAGACUGGGAUAACUUCGGGAAACCGGAGCUAAUACCGGAUAAUAUAUUGAACCGCAUGGUUCAAUAGUGAAAGACGGUUUUGCUGUCACUUAUAGAUGGAUCCGCGCCGCAUUAGCUAGUUGGUAAGGUAACGGCUUACCAAGGCAACGAUGCGUAGCCGACCUGAGAGGGGGAUAGGCCACACGGGAACGGAGACACGGUCCAGACGCCUACGGGAGGCAGCAGUAGGGAAUCUUCCGCAAUGGGCGAAAGCCUGACGGAGCAACGCCGCGUGAGUGAUGAAGGUCUUCGGAUCGUAAAACUCUGUUAUUAGGGAAGAACAAAUGUGUAAGUAACUAUGCACGUCUUGACGGUACCUGAUCAGAAAGCCACGGCUAACUACGUG
RNAcentral lists this ribosomal RNA (497 nucleotides) under uncultured bacterium. Its description in RNAcentral is "partial 16S ribosomal RNA". It matches the Rfam family "Bacterial small subunit ribosomal RNA", at positions 28 to 507 of the family's 1533-position model. The record is from RNAcentral.